Molecule: transfer RNA, 78 nt
Filed under: Marinobacter sp.
Lineage: Bacteria; Pseudomonadati; Pseudomonadota; Gammaproteobacteria; Pseudomonadales; Marinobacteraceae
Description: tRNA-Pro
Source: RNAcentral
GCGAGUGUAGAUCUCAAUUGGUAGAGUGGCAUGCGCGGAAGCGCCUGCGUGUUGCAGGUUCGAGUCCUGCCGCUCGCC